GUGACUGCGUACCUUUUGUAUAAUGGGUCAGCGACUUAUAUUCUGUAGCAAGGUUAACCGUAUAGGGGAGCCGAAGGGAAACCGAGUCUUAACUGGGCGUUAAGUUGCAGGGUAUAGACCCGAAACCCGGUGAUCUAGCCAUGGGCAGGUUGAAGGUUGGGUAACACUAACUGGAGGACCGAACCGACUAAUGUUGAAAAAUUAGCGGAUGACCUGUGGCUGGGGGUGAAAGGCCAAUCAAACCGGGAGAUAGCUGGUUCUCCCCGAAAGCUAUUUAGGUAGCGCCUCGUGAACUCAUCUUCGGGGGUAGAGCACUGUUUCGGCUAGGGGGCCAUCCCGGCUUACCAACCCGAUGCAAACUACGAAUACCGAAGAAUGUUAUCACGGGAGACACACGGCGGGUGCUAACGUCCGUCGUGAAGAGGGAAACAACCCAGACCGCCAGCUAAGGUCCCAAAGUCAUGGUUAAGUGGGAAACGAUGUGGGAAGGCACAGACAGCCAGGAUGUUGGCUUAGAAGCAGCCAUCAUUUAAAGAAAGCGUAAUAGCUCACUGGUCGAGUCGGCCUGCGCGGAAGAUGUAACGGGGCUAAACCAUGCACCGAAGCUGCGGCAGCGACGCUUAUGUGUUGUUGGGUAGGGGAGCGUUCUGUAAGCCGUUGAAGGUGUGCUGUGAGGCAUGCUGGAGGUAUCAGAAGUGCGAAUGCUGACAUAAGUAACGAUAAAGCGGGUGAAAAGCCCGCUCGCCGGAAGACCAAGGGUUCCUGUCCAACGUUAAUCGGGGCAGGGUGAGUCGACCCCUAAGGCGAGGCCGAAAGGCGUAGUCGAUGGGAAACAGGUUAAUAUUCCUGUACUUGGUGUUACUGCGAAGGGGGGACGGAGAAGGCUAUGUCAGCCGGGCGACGGUUGUCCCGGUUUAAGCAUGUAGGCGGAGGUUCCAGGUAAAUCCGGUACCUUAUUAACGCUGAGGUGUGAUGACGAGGCACUACGGUGCUGAAGUGAUAAAUGCCCUGCUUCCAGGAAAAGCCUCUAAGCAUCAGGUAACACGAAAUCGUACCCCAAACCGACACAGGUGGUCAGGUAGAGAAUACCAAGGCGCUUGAGAGAACUCGGGUGAAGGAACUAGGCAAAAUGGUGCCGUAACUUCGGGAGAAGGCACGCUGAUAUGUAGGUGAAGCCCCUGCGGGCGGAGCUGAAAUCAGUCGAAGAUACCAGCUGGCUGCAACUGUUUAUUAAAAACACAGCACUGUGCAAACACGAAAGUGGACGUAUACGGUGUGACGCCUGCCCGGUGCCGGAAGGUUAAUUGAUGGGGUUAGCGGCAACGCGAAGCUCUUGAUCGAAGCCCCGGUAAACGGCGGCCGUAACUAUAACGGUCCUAAGGUAGCGAAAUUCCUUGUCGGGUAAGUUCCGACCUGCACGAAUGGCGUAAUGAUGGCCAGGCUGUCUCCACCCGAGACUCAGUGAAAUUGAACUCGCUGUGAAGAUGCAGUGUACCCGCGGCAAGACGGAAAGACCCCGUGAACCUUUACUAUAGCUUGACACUGAACACUGGUCCUUGAUGUGUAGGAUAGGUGGGAGGCUUUGAAGCGUGGACGCCAGUCUGCGUGGAGCCAUCCUUGAAAUACCACCCUUUAAUGGCUGGUGUUCUAACGUAGACCCGUGAUCCGGGUUGCGGACAGUGUCUGGUGGGUAGUUUGACUGGGGCGGUCUCCUCCCAAAGAGUAACGGAGGAGCACGAAGGUUGGCUAAUCCUGGUCGGACAUCAGGAGGUUAGUGCAAUGGCAUAAGCCAGCUUGACUGCGAGCGUGACGGCGCGAGCAGGUGCGAAAGCAGGUCAUAGUGAUCCGGUGGUUCUGAAUGGAAGGGCCAUCGCUCAACGGAUAAAAGGUACUCCGGGGAUAACAGGCUGAUACCGCCCAAGAGUUCAUAUCGACGGCGGUGUUUGGCACCUCGAUGUCGGCUCAUCACAUCCUGGGGCUGAAGUAGGUCCCAAGGGUAUGGCUGUUCGCCAUUUAAAGUGGUACGCGAGCUGGGUUUAGAACGUCGUGAGACAGUUCGGUCCCUAUCUGCCGUGGGCGCUGGAGAAUUGAGGGGGGCUGCUCCUAGUACGAGAGGACCGGAGUGGACGCAUCACUGGUGUUCGGGUUGUCAUGCCAAUGGCACUGCCCGGUAGCUAAAUGCGGAAGAGAUAAGUGCUGAAAGCAUCUAAGCACGAAACUUGCCCCGAGAUGAGUUCUCCCUGAGACCUUGAGUCUCCUGAAGGAACGUUGAAGACGACGACGUUGAUAGGUCGGGUGUGUAAGCGCAGCGAUGCGUUGAGCUAACCGAUACUAAUGAACCGUGAGGCUUAACCUU
This 2356-nucleotide ribosomal RNA is filed under the name Enterobacter cloacae. RNAcentral describes it as "bacterial LSU rRNA". It matches the Rfam family "Bacterial large subunit ribosomal RNA", at positions 593 to 2925 of the family's 2925-position model. Lineage: Bacteria; Pseudomonadati; Pseudomonadota; Gammaproteobacteria; Enterobacterales; Enterobacteriaceae. The record is from RNAcentral.